This 521-nucleotide ribosomal RNA is filed under the name uncultured bacterium. RNAcentral describes it as "bacterial SSU rRNA". It matches the Rfam family "Bacterial small subunit ribosomal RNA", at positions 979 to 1500 of the family's 1533-position model. The record is from RNAcentral.
CUUUGACAUGUACGGAAUUCGCCAGAGAUGGCUUAGUGCUCGAAAGAGAACCGUAACACAGGUGCUGCAUGGCUGUCGUCAGCUCGUGUCGUGAGAUGUUGGGUUAAGUCCCGCAACGAGCGCAACCCUUGUCAUUAGUUGCUACAUUUAGUUGGGCACUCUAAUGAGACUGCCGGUGACAAACCGGAGGAAGGUGGGGAUGACGUCAAGUCCUCAUGGCCCUUAUGGGUAGGGCUACACACGUCAUACAAUGGAUGGUACAAAGGGUCGCCAACCCGCGAGGGGGAGCCAAUCCCAUAAAACCAUUCGUAGUCCGGAUCGCAGUCUGCAACUCGACUGCGUGAAGUCGGAAUCGCUAGUAAUCGUGGAUCAGAAUGUCACGGUGAAUACGUUCCCGGGUCUUGUACACACCGCCCGUCACACCAUGGGAGCGGGUUCUGCCAGAAGUAGUUAGCCUAACCGUAAGGAGGGCGAUUACCACGGCAGGGUUCGUGACUGGGGUGAAGUCGUAACAAGGUAGC